UUUCGCAAUGCCCGAAAGGGUGACGAAGCGACGCCGCGUGUGGGAAGAAGGCCUUCGGGUUGUAAACCACUGUCGGGAGUUAAGAAAUACAAGGAUAUUAAUAGUGUCUUUGUUUGACUAAGGCUCCGGAGGAAGCCACGGCUAACUCUGUGCCAGCAGCCGCGGUAAUACAGAGGCGGCAAGCGUUGUUCGGAAUUAUUGGGCGUAAAGAGCACGUAGGCGGCUAUGUAAGUCGGUUGUGAAAGCCUUCCGCUCAACGGAAGAACAGCAUCCGAUACUACAUGGCUUGAGUGCGGGAGGGGAGAGUGGAACUUCAGGUGGAGCGGUGAAAUGCGUAGAUAUCAGAAGGAACGCCGGCGGCGAAAGCGGCUCUCUGGCCCAUAACUGACGCUGAGUGUGCGAAAGCUAGGGGAGCAAACGGGAUUAGAUACCCCGGUAGUCCUAGCCGUAAACGAUGGGCACUAAGUAGAGGGGUUUU
This 478-nucleotide ribosomal RNA is filed under the name uncultured Planctomycetales bacterium. RNAcentral's name for it is "bacterial SSU rRNA". It matches the Rfam family "Bacterial small subunit ribosomal RNA", at positions 364 to 832 of the family's 1533-position model. The record is from RNAcentral. Lineage: Bacteria; Pseudomonadati; Planctomycetota; Planctomycetia; Planctomycetales.